RNAcentral lists this signal recognition particle RNA (311 nucleotides) under Desulfurococcales archaeon. RNAcentral describes it as "signal recognition particle sRNA". It matches the Rfam family "Archaeal signal recognition particle RNA". The record is from RNAcentral. Lineage: Archaea; Thermoproteati; Thermoproteota; Thermoprotei; Desulfurococcales.
CGCGCGGGUAGGGCCGAGGGGGCCGCCCUCCCUCGAACCCGAAACGGGCGUAAUGCGGGGGCCAGUAACCUCCCCCCGGACGCCGGGGAUGGGGGGCAACGGGUUGCACGGUCUACGAUGACUCCCGCCCCGCGGGGCCAGCGGUGACGGAGUCUCGGCUCGAGGGCCGAGGCUACCGUCUUUACCGGGGAAACCCGGCCAGGCCCGGAAGGGAGCAACCUAGCCUCGGACGCUGGCGUUCGCGGGUCACCGGGCUGAGGAUGACCGUGCAACCUGCCCUGUUCCCGGCGUCUAGGGGGAGGAGCCGCGCG